ACCCGGAAACUCAUGUAACAUUUCCGCCCUGAACUUUACCCGAUGCAUUAGUAAGCAUGUUUUAGUCUGAAUGGUUUCCAUUAAACUCUCUUGAUAGCUGUAUGAUUUGCUUAUUCCUUACGGUCAAUCACUGGGAGUGAAAUAGUGUACUAAACGAGUGAUUCAACCCAAAAGGAUUUGUCUUUAAGUUUUUUUAAGUAUACAACCUGUCAACGUGUUAGCGGGAUAGCUAGCACUCGUAGCUUCCUGCAGGUGGAAACAAGAGGACGUGAUUGUGUGCCAUGUUGUUUUUAUACAUGUCAUUCUAAGUCAUUAAAAGUGCAUUUAGGAUCUUUCAUGGCAGCUCGGCACCCCUUCACAGACACUGAUACUUCUGAUGAAGCAGUUCGAGCGACGUGUGACGAUGCCACGACUUGCAAAAGGUUUGCUAUCAGUAAAGGAUACUGGACAGACCCUUAUAUCCAGUAUUUUGUCAGAUCUGUCGGUGAGCGAAAGGCACCUGAAAUCAACAGAGGAUACUACAGCCGCGUGAAAGGUGUCAACCAUCUCCUUGAUGCAUUUAUAAGAAAAACAAAAUGUGACUGUCAAGUGAUCAACCUUGGUGCCGGGCUGGACACCACCUUCUGGAGACUUAAGGAUGAAAACAUCUUGCCGAGGAAGUUCUUUGAGGUUGAUUUUCCUACUGUUGUGGCCAGGAAAAUACACUAUAUAAAGACUAAACCACCCUUAUCCAAGCCUGUCAUCGAAACACACUCAACUGACUCCUUGCUACUAGAUGCCCACAGUCUUGAUUCGGAUCGGUAUUGUAUCAUCGGAGCAGACCUCAGAGACAUUGCUACUUUGUAUGAAAAACUGAAGAAGUUCCAGCUUAACCCCGAGUUGCCUACAUUGCUCUUGUCGGAGUGUGUGCUUGUCUACAUGACGCCCGCUCAGUCCUCCAGUUUAGUUCACUGGGCUGCAGAAACCUUUCACACGGCCAUGUUCAUCAACUAUGAACAGAUGAUAUGUGUGUGUCUAGGUGAACAUGAACGACCGUUUUGGCCAAGUAAUGAUCGAAAACCUUCAGCGGCGUCAGUGCACGCUGGCGGGAGUCGAGGUCUGCCGGUCUCUGGACUCUCAGAAGGAGCGAUUUCUCCAGUCGGGUUGGGAUCAUGCCGAUGCUCUGGACAUGGUGACAGUGUACAGUAUGCUUCCUCAGGAUGAAGUGGAAAGAAUUGAGCGUCUGGAGUUCCUGGAUGAAAAAGAGUUAUUGCACCAGCUCCUGCAGCAUUACAGCAUCUGCUGGGCCACCAAAGACAAGCUCAGACUAGGUUUGUCACAGUUGGCGUUUUGAUGGAACAUGACCAGAAGAAAGUCUGGAUUUGGGGUCACACACUCCUUUUGGGAUUUGUCGUGAACCAAGCCGUGUUAUCAACACCCUAUGACUUAGAGCUUACUAAGAAUGUUGAUGCACAUGAGUGUUUUAUUAGUAAAUUACAAAAUGUCAGCAUUUGCAGAAUGACUGGUGCGUUGUCCUUUUUGUGUCAUUUUAACUUGUAUUUAUUGGUAGAUUUUCUCACUCCUACAUCUUUUAAUAAAUGCUUCAAGCAAAAUUAGUGCUGAACUGCAAACUCAUACAUUUUCCUACAAAAUGUUCAGUUUCGGACAGAUAUUUUGUUGCAAUGCUAUGCGCAGUUAAAUAAAUGUUUGUUUUGCUAAAGUUGUGUAUUGUUUCAAGAUCAUACACUGUGUUUUAAUCUACAUCCACUUCUGUGCUGUAAUGCACUAGCUUAUUAAUUUUUGUCCCACAGAUUUUUUUUGUUGGCAGUUUGCAUAAUCUAUAUAUAAAAUAAAUUGUCAGUGAUACAUAUCAAUAGAUCAGGAGUCUCCAACCAGCAGCUCACAAAGAGCCACUUAAUAUCUGCUUAAACUAUCAGCAUCUGUUUAACUUUAUAUUUCAAACAUGAUGCCUCUAUUUAAUGAUAAAUUGUAACAACAUAACACAAAGACAAUGUCUGCACUGUUUGAGUGGAGAUCUGCUUAUAUAUUUACCAGAAAAAAUGAGGAGCUCUUGGCGGUUUUAAUUUAGUAAAAGUACUGUAGCUGAAGAGAAGAAACAAGGUUAGACACCCCUGCAUUAGAUAUUACACUAUAUCACCUAUAAAACAACGCUAAUAUAUCAGUGUUUCAGAUAGGAUGGCAUAUAUUGACCAACAUUGGAUUGGUUUUAGCAUCUUUAAUGUACUUAAUCGGGAGUAUCCGAAGUGCUGCCCACAGCUAAUUUUUAUUGGCCCUUGACAUGUUCAGAAAAUGAAUUCUCACAUAUAUAUAUAUGUUUUAUAUUUUGUGAUAGAAUGAUUGGAGCCCAUACUUGUUUGUCACAAUAAACAUUCAUGAAGUUGG
This is an RNA transcript of Nerophis ophidion (straightnose pipefish), 2382 nucleotides long. It is a transcript of the gene named leucine carboxyl methyltransferase 1, with no coding region annotated. Lineage: Eukaryota; Metazoa; Chordata; Actinopteri; Syngnathiformes; Syngnathidae. The record is from RefSeq and is a predicted model, not a curated record. The transcript is spliced from 11 exons.